RNAcentral lists this ribosomal RNA (729 nucleotides) under uncultured bacterium. Its description in RNAcentral is "bacterial SSU rRNA". It matches the Rfam family "Bacterial small subunit ribosomal RNA", at positions 56 to 763 of the family's 1533-position model. The record is from RNAcentral.
UGCAGUCGAACGGUAACAGGCCUAUGUGAUCCCUUCGGGGUGAACUUGGUGCUGACGAGUGGCGGACGGGUGAGUAAUGCAUAGGAAUCUGCCCUUUAGCGGGGGAUAACUCGGGGAAACUCGGGCUAAUACCGCAUACGCCCUACGGGGGAAAGCGGGGGCCUUCGGGCCUCGCACUAUUGGAUGAGCCUAUGUCUGAUUAGUUUGUUGGUGGGGUAAUGGCCUACCAAGGCGACGAUCAGUAGCUGGUCUGAGAGGACGAUCAGCCACACUGGGAUUGAGAUACGGCCCAGACUCCUACGGGAGGCAGCAGUGGGGAAUAUUGGACAAUGGGCGCAAGCCUGAUCCAGCAAUGCCGCGUGUGUGAAGAAGGCCCGAGGGUUGUAAAGCACUUUCAACAGUAAAGAAAAGUUCGGUGCUAAUACCACCGAACCCUGACGUUAGCUGUAGAAGAAGCACUGGCUAACUCCGUGCCAGCAGCCGCGGUAAUACGGAGGGUGCGAGCGUUAAUCGGAAUUACUGGGCGUAAAGCGUGCGUAGGUGGCUUGGUAAGUCGGAUGUGAAAGCCCCGAGCUCAACUUGGGAAUUGCAUUCGAUACUGCUAGGCUAGAGUAUGGUAGAGGGAAGUGGAAUUUCCGGUGUAGCGGUGAAAUGCGUAGAGAUCGGAAGGAACACUAGUGGCGAAGGCGGCUUCCUGGACCAAUACUGACACUGAGGUACGAAAGCGUG